AGAGCAUGACACACCAUUGCAGCUUCACAUAACAACAUAACCAGUCAACGGCAAGAGCCAUCAUAAGUCAUAGUCUAACCGAAAUAACAAGAGAAACGGAAAGAACAAAGCUAAACACGUAUAACCGAUUGUGUACCAACAAAUACUCGAGAAGGGAAUUAUAAUAACCAACGAACCUGGAACACCACGAAAAACAUUUAAGCCUUGCUCAAUACGCUCUCAAGAUAUGUAUGGAUACCUGGCUCUACGGGUAACGGAGAAUAGGGUUCGAUUCGGAAAAGAGCCUGAAAAACGGCUACUACAUCUAAGGAAGGCAGCAGGCGCGUAAAUUACCCAAUCCUGACUCAGGGGAGGUAGUGACAAGAUAUAACAACGUGAAGUCAAAUUCGCGAUUGGUAGUGAGGUUAUUCCAAACCGAAAUUCGAGUACGAUUGGAGGACAAGUCUUGGUGCCAGCACCCGCGGUAAUUCCAGCUCCAAUAGCGUAUAUUAAAGUUGUUG
RNAcentral lists this ribosomal RNA (500 nucleotides) under uncultured eukaryote. RNAcentral describes it as "SSU rRNA". It matches the Rfam family "Eukaryotic small subunit ribosomal RNA", at positions 159 to 615 of the family's 1831-position model. The record is from RNAcentral.